ACAAAAGCGCAUGUGCUGUGAGCUCGAUGAGUAGGGCGGGACACGUGGUAUCCUGUCUGAAUAUGGGGGGACCAUCCUCCAAGGCUAAAUACUCCUGACUGACCGAUAGUGAACCAGUACCGUGAGGGAAAGGCGAAAAGAACCCCGGCGAGGGGAGUGAAAAAGAACCUGAAACCGUGUACGUACAAGCAGUGGGAGCACAGGUUUACCUGUGUGACUGCGUACCUUUUGUAUAAUGGGUCAGCGACUUAUAUUCUGUAGCAAGGUUAACCGAAUAGGGGAGCCGGAGGGAAACCGAGUCUUAAUUGGGCGUUAAGUUGCAGGGUAUAGACCCGAAACCCGGUGAUCUAGCCAUGGGCAGGUUGAAGGUUGGGUAACACUAACUGGAGGACCGAACCGACUAAUGUUGAAAAAUUAGCGGAUGACCUGUGGCUGGGGGUGAAAGGCCAAUCAAACCGGGAGAUAGCUGGUUCUCCCCGAAAGCUAUUUAGGUAGCGCCUCGUGAAUUCAUCUCCGGGGGUAGAGCACUGUUUCGGCUAGGGGGCCAUCCCGGCUUACCAACCCGAUGCAAACUGCGAAUACCGGAGAAUGUUAUCACGGGAGACACACGGCGGGUGCUAACGUCCGUCGUGAAGAGGGAAACAACCCAGACCGCCAGCUAAGGUCCCAAAGUCAUGGUUAAGUGGGAAACGAUGUGGGAAGGCCCAGACAGCCAGGAUGUUGGCUUAGAAGCAGCCAUCAUUUAAAGAAAGCGUAAUAGCUCACUGGUCGAGUCGGCCUGCGCGGAAGAUGUAACGGGGCUAAACCAUGCACCGAAGCUGCGGCAGCGACGCUUAUGCGU
This 841-nucleotide ribosomal RNA is filed under the name Salmonella enterica subsp. enterica serovar Dublin. RNAcentral's name for it is "partial 23S ribosomal RNA". It matches the Rfam family "Bacterial large subunit ribosomal RNA", at positions 379 to 1221 of the family's 2925-position model. Lineage: Bacteria; Pseudomonadati; Pseudomonadota; Gammaproteobacteria; Enterobacterales; Enterobacteriaceae. The record is from RNAcentral.